CCCUGCCAUUUGUACACACCGCCCGUCGCUACUACCGAUUGAAUGGUUUAGUGAGAUCUUCGGAUUGGUCCGGAGGUGUCCGCAAGGUCGCCUCUAGGUGCCGAGAAGAUGAUCAAACUUGAUCAUUU
RNAcentral lists this ribosomal RNA (128 nucleotides) under uncultured eukaryote. Its description in RNAcentral is "partial small subunit ribosomal RNA". It matches the Rfam family "Eukaryotic small subunit ribosomal RNA", at positions 1651 to 1774 of the family's 1831-position model. The record is from RNAcentral.